GAGCGAGAGGGAGAGAGAGAGAGAGAGAGAGGGGAGACGGAGGAGGGAGAAAGGCAGGGGGUUAGGUGAGAGAAGAAAGACAGCGAGCUAGAGACGGCGAGCUAGAGAGAGAGAGCAAUAGCGAGCUAGAGAGAGAGUGACAGCGUGCUAGAGAGAGACAGCGAGCUAGAGAGAAACAGCGAGCUAGAGAGAAAGAGCGACAGAGAGCUAAAGAGAGCGACAUCGAGCUAGAGAGAGAGACAGCGAGCUAGAGAGAGAGACAGCGAGCUAGAGAGAGCGACAGCGAGCUAGAGAGAGAGCGACAGCGAGCUAGAGAGAGAGCGACAGCGAGCUAGAGAGAGCGACAGCGAGCUAGAGAGAGAGCGACAGCGAGCUAGAGAGAGAGCGACAGCGAGCUAGAGAGAGCGACAGCGAGCUAGAGAGAGAGCGACAGCGAGCUAGAGAGAGAGCGACAGCGAGCUAGAGAGAGAGCGACAGCGAGCUAGAGAGAGAGCGACAGCGAGCUAGAGAGAGAGCGACAGCGAGCUAGAGAGAGAGCGACAGCGAGCUAGAGAGAGCGACAGCGAGCUAGAGAGAGAGCGACAGCGAGCUAGAGAGAGAGCGACAGCGAGCUAGAGAGAGAGUGACAGCGAGCUAGAGAGAGAGCGACAGAGAGCUAGAGAGAGAGCGACAGCGAGCUAGAGAGAGACAGAGAGAACGGAGACAGGUAGAGACGUACUGUAGGUUGAACCAGAUCCAGGAGAGACGUAGGUUGGACCAGAUCCAGGAGAGACAGGUAGAGACGAAUGUAGGACCAGAUCCAGGAGAGAAAGGUAGAGACUAAUGUAGAUGGAGGUGAGGUAGACAGGUAGAGACUAAUGUAGAUGGAGGUGAAGUAGACAGAGGUCCAGGUGAAUGUAGAUGGAGAUGAGGUAGACAGGUAGAGACUAAUGUAGAUGGAGAUGAGGUAGACAGGUAGAGACUAAUGUAGAUGGAGAUGAGGUAGACAGGUAGAGACUAAUGUAGAUGGAGGUGAGGUAGACAGGUAGAGACUAAUGUAGAUGGAGGUGAGGUAGACAGGUAGAGACUAAUGUAGAUGGAGGUGAGGUAGACAGGUAGAGACUAAUGUAGAUGGAGGUGAGGUAGACAGGUAGAGACUAAUGUAGAUGGAGGUAAGGUAGACAGGUAGAGAUGAAUGGAGAUGGAGGUGAGGUUGACAGAGGUCCAGGUGAAUGUAGAUGGAGGUGAGGUAGACAGGUAGAGACUAAUGUAGAUGGAAAUGAGGUAGACAGGUUGAGAUUAAUGGAGAUGGAGAUGAGGUAGACAGGUAGAGACUAAUGUAGAUGGAGGUGAGGUAGACAGGUAGAGACUAAUGUAGAUGGAGGUAAGGUAGACAGGUAGAGAUGAAUGGAGAUGGAGGUGAGGUAGACAGGUAGAGACUAAUGUAGAUGGAGGUGAGGUAGACAGGUAGAGACUAAUGUAGAUGGAGGUGAGGUAGACAGGUAGAGACUAAUGUAGAUGGAGGUGAGGUAGACAGGUAGAGACUAAUGUAGAUGGAGGUGAGGUAGACAGGUAGAGACUAAUGUAGAUGGAGAUGAGGUAGACAGGUUGAGAUUAAUGGAGAUGGAGAUGAGGUAGACAGGUAGAGACUAAUGUAGAUGGAGAUGAGGUAGACAGGUUGAGAUUAAUGGAGAUGGAGAUGAGGUAGACAGGUAGAGACUAAUGUAGAUGGAGAUGAGGUAGACAGGUAGAGACUAAUGUAGAUGGAGAUGAGGUAGACAGGUUGAGAUUAAUGGAGAUGGAGAUGAGGUAGACAGGUAGAGACUAAUGUAGAUGGAGAUGAGGUAGACAGGUUGAGAUUAAUGGAGAUGGAGAUGAGGUAGACAGGUAGAGACUAAUGUAGAUGGAGGUAAGGUAGACAGAGG
Oncorhynchus keta (chum salmon) is the source of this 1904-nucleotide long non-coding RNA. RefSeq lists it as uncharacterized. The record is from RefSeq and is a predicted model, not a curated record. NCBI's taxonomy places the organism in Eukaryota, Metazoa, Chordata, Actinopteri, Salmoniformes, Salmonidae. The transcript has 4 exons.